GAUCCUGGCUCAGAAUCAACGCUGGCGGCGUGCCUCAGACAUGCAAGUCGUACGUGAAAGUCCUUCGGGAUGAGUAAAGUGGCGCACGGGUGAGUAACACGCGAGUUAUCUGCCUUUGGGUGGGGAAUACCAACCGGAAACGGUUGUUAAUACCGCAUAACGCUUGCGCUGUAAUGGCGUAUGUUAAAGCGGGGGAUCAGCAAUGACCUCGCGCCCGAAGAGGAGCUCGCGGCAGAUUAGGUAGUUGGUGAGGUAAUGGCUCACCAAGCCUGCGAUCUGUAACCGGCCUGAGAGGGCGGUCGGUCGCACUGACACUGACAUACGGGUCAGACUCCUACGGGAGGCAGCAGUCGGGAAUUUUGGGCAAUGGGCGAAAGCCUGACCCAGCAACGCCGCGUGAAGGAUGAAGCAUUUCGGUGUGUAAACUUCGCAAGAAUAGGAAGAAUAAGUUUGAACAAAUAAUUCAAACGAUGACGGUACUAUUUAUAAGCUCCGGCUAACUUCGUGCCAGCAGCCGCGGUAAUACGAGGGGAGCAAGCGUUGUUCGGAUUUACUGGGCGUAAAGGGUGCGUAGGCGGCACCACAAGUCACUUGUGAAAUCUUUGGGCUUAACCCAAAGCGGCCAAGUGAUACUGUGGAGCUAGAGUGCAGAAGGGGCAACUGGAAUUCCCGGUGUAGCGGUGAAAUGCG
This 690-nucleotide ribosomal RNA is filed under the name uncultured Acidobacteriota bacterium. RNAcentral describes it as "bacterial SSU rRNA". It matches the Rfam family "Bacterial small subunit ribosomal RNA", at positions 15 to 690 of the family's 1533-position model. Lineage: Bacteria; Pseudomonadati; Acidobacteriota. The record is from RNAcentral.